UACGUAGGUGGCAAGCGUUUGUCCGGAUUUACUGGGCGUAAAGAGCGCGCAGGCGGUCGUUCAAGUCGCGUGUGAAAGCCCCCGGCUCAACUGGGGAGGGUCACGCGAUACUGAUCGACUGGAAGGCAGGAGAGGGUAGUGGAAUUCCCGGUGUAGUGGUGAAAUGCGUAGAUAUCGGGAAGAACACCCGUGGCGAAGGCGGCUCUCUGGGACGGUACUGACGCUGAGACGCGAAAGCGUGGGGAGCGAACAGG
Molecule: ribosomal RNA, 254 nt
Filed under: uncultured bacterium
Lineage: Bacteria
Description: partial 16S ribosomal RNA
Rfam family: Bacterial small subunit ribosomal RNA
Source: RNAcentral